Molecule: ribosomal RNA, 484 nt
Filed under: uncultured bacterium
Lineage: Bacteria
Description: partial 16S ribosomal RNA
Rfam family: Bacterial small subunit ribosomal RNA
Source: RNAcentral
AUUGAACGCUGGCGGCAGGCCUAACACAUGCAAGUCGAGCGGAUGAAGGGAGCUUGCUCCUGGAUUCAGCGGCGGACGGGUGAGUAAUGCCUAGGAAUCUGCCUGGUAGUGGGGGAUAACGUCCGGAAACGGGCGCUAAUACCGCAUACGUCCUGAUGGAGAAAGUGGGGGAUCUUCGGACCUCACGCUAUCAGAUGAGCCUAGGUCGGAUUAGCUAGUUGGUGGGGUAAAGGCCUACCAAGGCGACGAUCCGUAACUGGUCUGAGAGGAUGAUCAGUCACACUGGAACUGAGACACGGUCCAGACUCCUACGGGAGGCAGCAGUGGGGAAUAUUGGACAAUGGGCGAAAGCCUGAUCCAGCCAUGCCGCGUGUGUGAAGAAGGUCUUCGGAUUGUAAAGCACUUUAAGUUGGGAGGAAGGGCAGUAAGUUAAUACCUUGCUGUUUUGACGGUACCAACAGAAUAAGCACCGGCUAACUUCGUG